RNAcentral lists this ribosomal RNA (465 nucleotides) under Vreelandella stevensii. RNAcentral describes it as "partial 16S ribosomal RNA". It matches the Rfam family "Bacterial small subunit ribosomal RNA", at positions 338 to 795 of the family's 1533-position model. Lineage: Bacteria; Pseudomonadati; Pseudomonadota; Gammaproteobacteria; Oceanospirillales; Halomonadaceae. The record is from RNAcentral.
CCUACGGGAGGCUGCAGUGGGGAAUAUUGGACAAUGGGGGGAACCCUGAUCCAGCCAUGCCGCGUGUGUGAAGAAGGCCCUCGGGUUGUAAAGCACUUUCAGUGAGGAAGAACGCCUGGUGGUUAAUACCCAUCAGGAAAGACAUCACUCACAGAAGAAGCACCGGCUAACUCCGUGCCAGCAGCCGCGGUAAUACGGAGGGUGCGAGCGUUAAUCGGAAUUACUGGGCGUAAAGCGCGCGUAGGUGGCUUGAUAAGCCGGUUGUGAAAGCCCCGGGCACAACCUGGGAACGGCAUCCGGAACUGUCAAGCUAGAGUGCAGGAGAGGAAGGUAGAAUUCCCGGUGUAGCGGUGAAAUGCGUAGAGAUCGGGAGGAAUACCAGUGGCGAAGGCGGCCUUCUGGACUGACACUGACACUGAGGUGCGAAAGCGUGGGUAGCAAACAGGAUUAGAUACCCUAGUAGUC